CCUACGGGAGGCAGCAGUGGGGGAUAUUGGACAAUGGGGGGAACCCUGAUCCAGCGACGCCGCGUGAGUGAAGAAGUAUUUCGGUUUGUAAAGCUCUGUCAGCAGGGACGAAAGCAAUGACGGUACCUGAGCAAGAAGCCCCGGCUAACUACGUGCCAGCAGCCGCGGUAAUACGUAGGGGGCAAGCGUUAUCCGGAAUUACUGGGUGUAAAGGGAGCGUAGACGGGUGUGCAAGUCUGGAGUGAAAGGCGUGGGCUCAACCCCCGGACUGCACUGGAAACUGUAUGGCUGGAGUGCAGGAGAGGUAAGCGGAAUUCCGAGUGUAGCGGUGAAAUGCGUAGAUAUUAGGAGGAACACCAGUGGCGAAGGCGGAUUACUGGACUGUAACUGACGUUGAGGCUCGAAAGCGUGGGGAGCAAACAGGAUUAGAUACCCGUGUAGUC
RNAcentral lists this ribosomal RNA (443 nucleotides) under uncultured bacterium. RNAcentral describes it as "partial 16S ribosomal RNA". It matches the Rfam family "Bacterial small subunit ribosomal RNA", at positions 338 to 795 of the family's 1533-position model. The record is from RNAcentral.